This 498-nucleotide ribosomal RNA is filed under the name uncultured bacterium. RNAcentral describes it as "partial 16S ribosomal RNA". It matches the Rfam family "Bacterial small subunit ribosomal RNA", at positions 30 to 523 of the family's 1533-position model. The record is from RNAcentral.
AUUGAACGCUGGCGGCAUGCCUUACACAUGCAAGUCGAACGGUAACAGGUCUUCGGAUGCUGACGAGUGGCGAACGGGUGAGUAAUACAUCGGAACGUGCCUAGUAGUGGGGGAUAACUACUCGAAAGAGUGGCUAAUACCGCAUGAGAUCUACGGAUGAAAGCAGGGGAUCGCAAGACCUUGUGCUACUAGAGCGGCCGAUGGCAGAUUAGGUAGUGGGUGGGAUAAAAGCUGACCAAGCCGACGAUCUGUAGCUGGUCUGAAAGGACGAGCAGCACGACUAGGACUGAGACACGGCCCAGACUCCUACGGGAGGCAGCAGUGGGGAAUUUUGGACAAUGGGCGAAAGCCUGAUCCAGCAAUGCCGCGUGCAGGAUGAAGGCCUUCGGGUUGUAAACUGCUUUUGUACGGAACGAAAAGCCCCGGGUUAAUACCCUGGGGUCAUGACGGUACCGUAAGAAUAAGCACCGGCUAACUACGUGCCAGCCGCCGCCGUAA